GGACGAACGCUGGCGGCGUGCCUAACACAUGCAAGUGGAGCGACGAACCGGGACUUCGGUCCGGGGCAAAGCCGCGAACGGGUGAGUAACACGUGGGUAACCUGCCCCGAUGAUUGGGGACAAACCCGAGGAAACUCGGGCUAAUACCGAAUGUGCCCUACGGUCGCAAGACCGCUGGGGAAAGGAAGCUUCGGCCUCCGCAUCGGGGAUGGGCCCGCGGCCCAUUAGCUUGUUGGUGAGGUAAAGGCUCACCAAGGCCACGAUGGGUAGCUGGUCUGAGAGGACGAUCAGCCACACUGGGACUGAGACACGGCCCAGACUCCUACGGGAGGCAGCAGUGGGGAAUCUUGCGCAAUGCGCGAAAGCGUGACGCAGCAACGCCGCGUGGGGAAGACGGCCUCGGUUGUAACCCG
RNAcentral lists this ribosomal RNA (413 nucleotides) under uncultured bacterium. RNAcentral's name for it is "bacterial SSU rRNA". It matches the Rfam family "Bacterial small subunit ribosomal RNA", at positions 27 to 432 of the family's 1533-position model. The record is from RNAcentral.